RNAcentral lists this ribosomal RNA (451 nucleotides) under uncultured organism. RNAcentral's name for it is "partial 16S ribosomal RNA". It matches the Rfam family "Bacterial small subunit ribosomal RNA", at positions 333 to 800 of the family's 1533-position model. The record is from RNAcentral.
ACACUCCUGCGGGAGGCAGCAGUGGGGAAUAUUGGACAAUGGGCGCAAGCCUGAUCCAGCCAUGCCGCGUGAGUGAUGAAGGCCCUAGGGUUGUAAAGCUCUUUUGUGCGGGAAGAUAAUGACGGUACCGCAAGAAUAAGCCCCGGCUAACUUCGUGCCAGCAGCCGCGGUAAUACGAAGGGGGCUAGCGUUGCUCGGAAUCACUGGGCGUAAAGGGUGCGUAGGCGGGUCUUUAAGUCAGGGGUGAAAUCCUGGAGCUCAACUCCAGAACUGCCUUUGAUACUGAAGAUCUUGAGUUCGGGAGAGGUGAGUGGAACUGCGAGUGUAGAGGUGAAAUUCGUAGAUAUUCGCAAGAACACCAGUGGCGAAGGCGGCUCACUGGCCCGAUACUGACGCUGAGGCACGAAAGCGUGGGGAGCAAACAGGAUUAGAUACCCGAGUAGUCCCAUGA